GGUCAGAUGGCCGAGUUGGUUAUGGCGCCAGGUUAAGGUCCAAUCUUAACAUUGAGUUGUUUGGAAAAAAAACAAUUUCCUGGUCACGAAAGUGGCGUGGGUUCGAGUCCCACUCUGAUCA
Molecule: transfer RNA, 121 nt
Filed under: Lachnellula cervina
Lineage: Eukaryota; Fungi; Ascomycota; Leotiomycetes; Helotiales; Lachnaceae
Rfam family: tRNA
About the family: Transfer RNA (tRNA) molecules are approximately 80 nucleotides in length. Their secondary structure includes four short double-helical elements and three loops (D, anti-codon, and T loops). Further hydrogen bonds mediate the characteristic L-shaped molecular structure. tRNAs have two regions of fundamental functional importance: the anti-codon, which is responsible for specific mRNA codon recognition, and the 3' end, to which the tRNAs corresponding amino acid is attached (by aminoacyl-tRNA synthetases). tRNAs cope with the degeneracy of the genetic code in two manners: having more than one tRNA (with a specific anti-codon) for a particular amino acid; and 'wobble' base-pairing, i.e. permitting non-standard base-pairing at the 3rd anti-codon position.
Source: Rfam by way of RNAcentral